UGCUCAGUAACACGUGGAUAACCUACCCUUAGGACCAGUAUAACCCCGGGAAACUGGGGAUAAUCCUGGAUAGAUUAAGUUGCCUGCUAUUGGUUUUUCAUUUAAAUGCUCCGGCGCCUAAGGAUGGGUCUGCGGCAGAUUAGGUAGUUGGUCGGUAAUGGCUUACCGAGCCUAUGACCUGUACUGGUUGUGAGACCAAG
RNAcentral lists this ribosomal RNA (200 nucleotides) under uncultured Methanobacterium sp. RNAcentral's name for it is "partial 16S ribosomal RNA". It matches the Rfam family "Archaeal small subunit ribosomal RNA", at positions 87 to 286 of the family's 1478-position model. Lineage: Archaea; Methanobacteriati; Methanobacteriota; Methanobacteria; Methanobacteriales; Methanobacteriaceae. The record is from RNAcentral.